GAUGAACGCUGGCGGCGUGCCUAAUACAUGCAAGUCGAGCGAACGGACGAGAAGCUUGCUUCUCUGAUGUUAGCGGCGGACGGGUGAGUAACACGUGGAUAACCUACCUAUAAGACUGGGAUAACUUCGGGAAACCGGAGCUAAUACCGGAUAAUAUUUUGAACCGCAUGGUUCAAAAGUGAAAGACGGUCUUGCUGUCACUUAUAGAUGGAUCCGCGCUGCAUUAGCUAGUUAGUAAGGUAACGGCUUACCAAGGCAACGAUGCAUAGCCGACCUGAGAGGGUGAUCGGCCACACUGGAACUGAGACACGGUCCAGACUCCUACGGGAGGCAGCAGUAGGGAAUCUUCCGCAAUGGGCGAAAGCCUGACGGAGCAACGCCGCGCGAGUGAUGAAGGUCUUCGGAUCGUAAAACUCUGUUAUUAGGGAAGAACAUAUGUGUAAGUAACUGUGCACAUCUUGACGGUACCUAAUCAGAAAGCCACGGCUAACUACGUG
RNAcentral lists this ribosomal RNA (497 nucleotides) under uncultured bacterium. RNAcentral's name for it is "partial 16S ribosomal RNA". It matches the Rfam family "Bacterial small subunit ribosomal RNA", at positions 28 to 507 of the family's 1533-position model. The record is from RNAcentral.